Molecule: long non-coding RNA, 733 nt
Filed under: Homo sapiens (human)
Lineage: Eukaryota; Metazoa; Chordata; Mammalia; Primates; Hominidae
Description: non-protein coding lnc-CEBPB-12:2
Source: RNAcentral
AUUUUUAGUAGAGACGGGGUUUCUCCAUGUUGGUCAGGCUGGUCUCGAACUCCCAACCUCCGGUGACCCGCUCGCUUCGGCCUCCCAAAGUGCUGGGAUUACAGGCCUGAGAGCCACCGCACCCGGCCGGACCUGGUUCAUUUUAAAAUUGUUGUCUUAAUCUUAGUUGCUUAACUGCUUGCAAUUCUGUGUGUUGGCUGGUGGUUCCUCUGUGGGCUUCCCCUGGGCUUGUGCAUGCGGCUGCUUCUGGCUUUCAGCUGUGCUGGCUGGGCUAAGGUGGCCUCAUUCAUGGUGACAUGGGAUUCAGAUGGGAUCCAGAUGGGAUUCAGAUAGCAGCUGAUUGUUGGCUGGGGCACCUCUGUACUGCAUCUGGGCUCUCAUCAUCCAGAAGGUUAGACUGGCUUCUGUACGUGGUGUUUUCAGCACAGCAUCCAGGAGCCCUAGGCCCAGAUGUCCCAUAAAGUCUCUUUCUCCCAUUUAUUCUAUCUCAAAGCAAGUCAAACACCAGCCCAGGGCUUCCAGGAAACUGCUCCUCGCUCCUUGUUGGCCCACAGACUUCAUUUGUACUCACUAGCAGAGGGAUAAGAUUACUCUUUGACUCAUCCGGCCCUCCAAGGCAGGGCAGGGAAUGGGGUCACUUACCUAAGGCACCUGGGUUGCCUGCAUGCCCGUUAGGAGGAGACAGAUCAAGCACGUAGUCACGCUGCGCUGUGUUGCUUCCCUCCGCUUCUUU